UACGUAGGGAGCAAGCGUUGUCCGGAAUCAUUGGGCGUAAAGCGCGCGUAGGUGGCUUCGUAAGUCCGUUGUGAAAGUCAAAGGCUCAACCUUUGAAGGCCGAUGGAUACUGUGAAGCUAGAGUACGGAAGAGGCGAGUGGAAUUCCUGGUGUAGCGGUGGAAUGCGCAGAUAUCAGGAGGAACACCAAUAGCGAAGGCAGCUCGCUGGGACGUUACUGACACUGAGGCGCGAAAGCGUGGGGAGCGAACAGG
This 253-nucleotide ribosomal RNA is filed under the name uncultured bacterium. Its description in RNAcentral is "partial 16S ribosomal RNA". It matches the Rfam family "Bacterial small subunit ribosomal RNA", at positions 524 to 776 of the family's 1533-position model. The record is from RNAcentral.